GAUGAACGCUGGCGGCGUGCCUAAUACAUGCAAGUCGAGCGGAUAGAGGAGGAGUUCGCUCCGCUUACGUUAGAGGCGGACGGGUGAGGAAUACGUGGAUAACCUGCCUAUAAGACUGGUAUAACUGCGCGAAACCGGAGCCAAUACCGGUUAAUAUAUUGAACCUCAGGGUUCAAUAGUGAAAGACGGUUUUGCUGUGGCUUAGAGGUAGUUCCGCGCUGCAUUAGCAAGGUGGUAAGGUAACGGCUUACCAAAGCAACGAUGCGUAGAUGAUCGGAGAGGCUGAUCGCUCCCCCUGGAACUGUGACACGGUCCACACUCCUCCGGGAGGCAGCAGUCGGGAAUCUUCCGCCAUGGGCGAAAGCCUGAAGGAGCUACGCCGCGUGUGUGAUGAAGGUCUUCGGAUCGUAAAACACUGUUAUUAGGGAGGAACAAAUGUAUAUGUAACUAUGCACGUUUUGACGGUACCUAGACAACAAGCCCCGGCUAACUCCGUG
This 497-nucleotide ribosomal RNA is filed under the name uncultured bacterium. RNAcentral's name for it is "partial 16S ribosomal RNA". It matches the Rfam family "Bacterial small subunit ribosomal RNA", at positions 28 to 507 of the family's 1533-position model. The record is from RNAcentral.